GACGAACGCUGGCGGCGUGCCUAACACAUGCAAGUCGGACGGAACUGUUUUGAAAGAUUUCUUCGGAAUGAAUUUGAUUUAGUUUAGUGGCGGACGGGUGAGUAACGCGUGAGUAACCUGCCUUCAAGAGGGGAAUAACAUUCUGAAAAGAAUGCUAAUACCGCAUGACAUAUCGGAACCACAUGGUUUUGAUAUCAAAGAUUUUAUCGCUUGAAGAUGGACUCGCGUCCGAUUAGUUAGUUGGUGAGGUAACGGCUCACCAAGACCGCGAUCGGUAGCCGGACUGAGAGGUUGAACGGCCACAUUGGGACUGAGACACGGCCCAGACUCCUACGGGAGGCAGCAGUGGGGGAUAUUGCGCAAUGGGGGCAACCCUGACGCAGCAACGCCGCGUGAAGGAUGAAGGUUUUCGGAUUGUAAACUUCUUUUAUUAAGGACGAAAAAUGACGGUACUUAAUGAAUAAGCUCCGGCUAACUACGUG
Molecule: ribosomal RNA, 482 nt
Filed under: uncultured bacterium
Lineage: Bacteria
Description: partial 16S ribosomal RNA
Rfam family: Bacterial small subunit ribosomal RNA
Source: RNAcentral